This is a long non-coding RNA of Taeniopygia guttata (zebra finch), 536 nucleotides long. RefSeq lists it as uncharacterized. NCBI's taxonomy places the organism in Eukaryota, Metazoa, Chordata, Aves, Passeriformes, Estrildidae. The record is from RefSeq and is a predicted model, not a curated record.
ACCAGAAAUCUGAGUGAGGGGGGCAUUACACUGCAGCAUUUAAAACCUCUGUCGCUGAGCCCUCCCUGGGCUCAUCAGCUGAAGGGAUGGGAACACUCCAGGCUCAAUUCAGGCAAGGGAAUUCUUGAAGGAGCACAGGACUGAAAAUGGACUACAAUGGAGGGAAAUUUACUUGAAGGCAAGCCAAGGAGGAGCAGAGGAAUAUGGCAAGCAUGGUGAUGGAGAAACCCACUGGAGCAGGGAAUGCCAAGAAGAAGGCUAAACAUGAAAGCUGGGAGUACUGGAGAAGUCAGGCUGAAAAGUGACAUUCCUGGUUCAGAGUUACUUACCACUCAAACCAUGUCACCAUCUCCUCUCAGCUCUGAUGAAAUGGUUCUUAGAGAAGACUGGAAUUUUCUUGGAUACCUCUCUACAAGGCUGGAGAUGGAUUCAAAUACUGCAUCAGGACACCAUGUUUUGUUUCUAGACAUUUUUGUCUGCAUGAAGCCCAGCCCAUGGUGACAUUCUAGAAUUAAAAGUUUGUUCUUCUCACUGUC